GCUCGCGUAGCUCAGUUGGUUAGAGCAUCGCUCUUAUGCGGUUACCUAUUCAUGGAAUUCAUUCCGCGGAUGCACAUUCAAUGCGGGGGUCCUGAGUUCAAACCUCAGCGUGAGUA
Molecule: non-coding RNA, 116 nt
Organism: Mycena epipterygia
Lineage: Eukaryota; Fungi; Basidiomycota; Agaricomycetes; Agaricales; Mycenaceae
Source: the annotation of a GenBank genome assembly